UACGGAGGGAGCUAGCGUUGUUCGGAAUUACUGGGCGUAAAGCGCACGUAGGCGGCGAUUCAAGUCAGAGGUGAAAGCCCGGGGCUCAACCCCGGAACUGCCUUUGAAACUAGAAUGCUAGAAUCCUGGAGAGGUUAGUGGAAUUCCGAGUGUAGAGGUGAAAUUCGUAGAUAUUCGGAAGAACACCAGUGGCGAAGGCGACUAACUGGACAGGUAUUGACGCUGAGGUGCGAAAGCGUGGGGAGCAAACAGG
RNAcentral lists this ribosomal RNA (253 nucleotides) under uncultured bacterium. Its description in RNAcentral is "partial 16S ribosomal RNA". It matches the Rfam family "Bacterial small subunit ribosomal RNA", at positions 524 to 776 of the family's 1533-position model. The record is from RNAcentral.